UUUUACUGUUAAUUUAGGAAUACCCUGUUGCUGAAAGAUAACUGUUGGACAUGCACAGAUGUGUACGAUCCUAAACACUGUGCUUACAAAUAAUUUAUUCUUAUUUCAUACAUUUGUUUUUCAGCAAAAAUGCAUAGUCAUAUUAUUUACACAGAAUUUCAUAUUCAAGACUGUAGGGAACAAAUGUCUCAGGAAACCAAAAUCAUAGCAAAUCAUACAACAGAAAUGUGUCACAUUUUUUUUUCAGCUACAUGCACAGAACUGGCCAAAGUGAUACCUAUUUCUAUAGAUUAUUUUAUCACAUAAUGGAGAAUUAAGAUUAAGUAACGCUUUUCUGUUAGAAUACACUAUUGAUUUGAAACCACAUGUUAGUCCAUGCCUGGAAGCUCACGUAUCCUGAGAAUGCCUCUCUUGCUAGCUAAAUACAGUUCUUUAGGGUGUAGGUAAGGACUGGAGUAAGGGUAGCCUAAAAAGAAUGAAUCUGGCAAGCAAUGGGAAAAAUUUCUUUGUGCGCGCAUCAUUUUUACUCCCUUCUUUCUCCGUCAUCACCCUUAAAUGAACUUAAAAACAAAAACAAAAAACAGACACAUGAAGGUCUCUAUUUGAUCACUGUUAACUCUUCCCUCUGCCUCUGACCUGAGGAAAAAAUGAGUAUGCCCCUUCAAGUAUAAUGCCCUUUACUGCAAAAGGGGACCUGCUGGUUGUACAUUCUUGCAAAUCCAAGAACAGUCACCGUAUUUAAAACCUUUGUUUGGAAAUGGGUGAACCUCAUAAGGCAGAUGGUUGGAGAAGGCCUAAAUACACAUGGAAUCCUUUUAGAAAUCUUUUCUCUUCAAGCUGGAUAUGUGGAAAGUGAAGUUUCAAGGGUAGUGAAAAUGGCCUGGGAGAUGGCUGAAAUGAAGAGAGUUCAGAGCGACCACAUGGUCUAUACAAAUUAAAAAAAAAAAAAAAAAAAAAAAAAAAAAAAAAAAGCAGCCACAGAAUCCUCCCCCAGCCCUGAAACACAGAAAGCCUUUUUCUGGUCCAUAUAGUGAUGGCAUGGGGCUUAUUCUUCUUUCUAUUCUGAAGAAACAAGGGACAGAGUUCCAGGGCUGUACAUUUUAUUGGCUACGUUAUUCACCAUGCUUAUAAACUCAUCAAAGUGAAAGGUGCCUCACCUCUUUAUUGCCUUGGUACUCAGUUGAUUGGCGAGAAUAAUUUUGUUCAUAGCCUCCAGAAAAGAAAACUAGCCUGUUUGAAAAGUAGACCUUCUGUGCUAGGUUUUGCUGGAAGAGGGAAUUUAAUAAAGUUUCUAACCAGAAUUUUUAAAAAGACUUUUAAAUUUAGCCAUGAGACACACCUAAAACCUAUCUCAUGUGUUUUCUUCUUUUUUAAAAAAUGAUUUGUAUCCUUCUUUAAACUAUACAUUAUUUACAUUUUUAAAGACCUACUAGGUCUUUAUCAUUUGAGUAAGAGCUCAAGGUGAUUAAACUCACCGGAUAAAGAUGAGUCUUUCCAAAAAGCUCUGGUUCUCACUUAUGUGCUAAGGCCUGUUUUUACAAACAAAUGUCUAUUAGAAACUUUACAAAUAUAAAAUUAAAAUACUUUUUUAAAAAAUUUUCCCAGGAAUUUUAUUUUUUGCAUCCAGCAUAUUAAAAACAGAUUAUGCUUUCCAACUAGAGAUGGAACUAAGAAGAAAUGAAAUUGUGUCCCCAUGCUUUAUCUAGAAACAAGAGUUUAUUUACACAGUGUCCUUCUUCAAUAUCAUGGUGUACUGGGAGAAGCAGGGCCAUCUUUACAGCACGGCCAAAUGACCACCUGAAGACCCCCCAUUCUGCCUUGAGUGCUUAUUGCGUAUUUUGGGUGGAGGUAUAAGGCAUGAGGGAAAGGUGGCCUGUCACUUUUACACAUUGGAGAAUAAUUUUGCACAUUCAAGAAAUUUUCCUUGAGAAAUGCCAUGUUUGGAAUAGCUUCCAGAGAUUGAUUGAGAACAAAAGCAUUAAAGCAAGUGCAUUACAUUUAGAAGCACAAUACAUUGGGAAACAUUCUCAAAAGCUCAAAGAGCAGGCUGUUUUUCCACUGAGCUAAAUAGUAAAUAAGUGUGCAUACUGUUGCAUAUAGGUAUAUGUUCAGAGCUUUCAAAAGUCACAUCCUGCCACAAUUAACAGCUAAAUGAGCAUUCUUGGCCCCUGACCUAUAAAUAAACACUCUAAUUCUGCAACUUGCUCACAGAUUCUUAAGGAGCCACUCUAGAACAAAAAUGCCUACAAACUGGUUAGAAAUCUGCAAACCAGAAAUGCAAUACAGUUAUCCUUUUUUAAAUGACAACAACAGAAAUUUAUAUUAGCUUUUGGAAGAGUGACUAAGAAGAACUGACAUCCAUUUUCACAAUUAAGAAAUAAUUAUUCACAAUACCGAAGAAGCCAAAUCUUCAAUAAGAAAACGUGUGGCCUCUCACAAAAGAACACAGUAGUGCUCAGCUCCAACCACUGAAUGCUUCCUUUUUCAGUUUGUCUAGGCUUGUUCGCUUUUUGUCAGGUGAUAUAUGUCAGAGAAUAUUGACAAUCCUUCAAGAAAAUGAUUCAAAAGGUGAUGUACAAUUGGCUGGUGCUAUCCCGUAAUGCCUUUUUGCCUCUGUCCUAAUUUUAUGGAAACAAAGUAAGGGCUUUAAGCCAGGAGAUAAAUGUACCACUCAAAAUAUACCUGGACACUCGUGCUCAGGUCAAACGCUACAAGAUGUGGUUAAGCUGACAAACAGAAUUCCUUGCCUGUCUACUCGAACACUAACACCCUGGGAGUUCACAUGCUUUUCUAAGGACAAAAUUUAAAACUCAGGCUGACUGCACAGUUGAACUUGCUGCCCCAUUCUGACUGUUUGACUCUAAUCCUCUUUGUUCUCCCCUUCCCAUGCAUUCUUCCUAUCUUUUUUACCUCUGACACUUUUUAAUGAUUUCCUCCAGAUUAAUGUUUUCUAAGACAUGUUUCAUAAGUUACAACACAAAGAUCCUAAAAGGCUAGAGAGCAUUAGUUAAUCUCAGUUAAUUUUGGAGAUCUAGCCAUUUACCUUCUUAUGUAUGUGAUUGGUUUGUUUGUUUGUUUUAUUACACUAUAAAAUUCAGACACUUAAAGACAUCUCAAUUUAGGCACUUUGGAUGAUCCACUCUUCAUAAUAGUAUGAAUACUAUCAAUCUUCCAAUAGUUAUCGUUAUUAGUGUUUUCAUAAUAUUAGUGAUAAGUUUUUCAAUUCUGUACAUAUGCCGACUAUCCCCUCACUUGGAUUGUACAUUACAUUUUCAAGUUAUUUUUAACAAUAGGCCUAGGAGCACACAGAAAAAGAAAAAAGAAAGAAAUUGAUUGCUGAGGAAGUCAGCAUGUGAAUAGAAAUAAGAUUCUAUGGAUUGCACUUAUGCUAGCAAAAAAAGAGACCCAAACUCAGGGACUUACGGCAUUCUACCUACAGCCAAGGUCAGAGUUUGGUUCCUGGCCAGAGAGACUUUCUGGGGCUUCUCUCUUCCACCAGAAGACAAAAGGGUAAUGGCUGUAAUAAUACGGAUGGGUCCUUGCCCAAUGUCUUACACACAGUAGGUGCUCAAAGAUCAUGAAAGGUAUGAUAUGAGUGCAUGAAUGAACAGCUCAAAGAUUGCUGACAGAGUGAAGUCAGCAGUGGUAAACUUCAACAGUUGAAGAACAAGAUGGUAACAACCAUUUUAAGUGGCUGAUAACAUUUUGUUUGAGAUAUUUUGAUCUAAUUUCAAAGACAGCCCUAUCUCACUUUGCUCAAUUUUAAAGUUAGUCAAUUAAGGGACUGUAUCUAUAUCUCUUUUUCCAAUUAGUGUCUGUGUGCUUGGCCAGGCAUCAUAGCCAUGCAAACUAGUAAACACAGUUGAGCAGACAAUGGUCUCCGCAUUCUAAUGCCAGUUUGAAAACUUAAUCCUGUCACCUUGGACCAACUAUAAAGCUUUGAAAUGGAGAUAACUCCCACCAUACCUGUCUCCUAUUAUAGCUUUGUGCAGAUUAACUAAUUAAAGUUAUGAAGAGAUUUAAAGAUAAAAAUUCCUGUUUAUUAUUGCUGUUAGUCCUCAGAGUUGGCACCAAAUCAGGAAAAAAUGAUAUAAAUCACCUCUGUCCCAAAAUUUUGCAUUCUUAGAAAUGAUUCCUAUGAAGUAUCACUAUAAAUUAGGCUAAAUUGUUUUUUGACUGCAAGCACUUACAAGCUGGAUUUAUGAAUGGAAACAUAUGAAGGCCACUCUGUCCAGCUCUGUAGCCCCAUACUUUCUCCCUGGGCUAUUUAUAGAAAGUGUAUGGCUAGUGGAAAAGUUCACAUUUAUUUUUACAAGCCAGUCAUGACAUGACCGAGGAACUCAUUUCCUCUCUCUGGGAAGGUCAUCCUCUUCACCUGAGCUGCAAGAACGGCAGGGAAGAAAGGAACCCCAUUAGCCAACUAAGUCAGUCUGAGUCAGCCCCAGAGACCAACCCACGGGGUGACAGGCACCGAAGUCAAACACCUUCAUUUUCCAGGCAUGACUCUAUGGCGCCGCUCCUUGAGAUGUCAUCCAGAUCAUGACUAACAAGUAAAAAUGAAACAUAUUACAUAAUAUGCUUCAAAAUUCUACUGCCAAAAUAGGUUGUACAUAGAUAAUGGACUGAAUUCUUAUUUAUAAUUUGUCCUACAUUUCAAACAGCUGAACACAAUAAAGUAAAACUGAAUUUUAAUGUGGCAAAAUGGAAAGUGUGAAAAAUAUUUUAAAAUAUAUAUUGUUCUGAUUGCCACAUUACCUUGAAAUGUGUAAUAAACCUGGAUAGUUCCGUGCAAAUGGGGAGAUUCAAAGUAAAUAUUCACUUCUAAAACAUCAAGAAAUUUAAUAAAUUCAGCAAAUAAACUGUAUAGUUUAACAAAUCAUCCCUGGCUUUGACUAGUGUAUAUGGUACCUAUUUGCAAACAUGAAGUGAAGCCAAACCAGUUUUCAACUAGAAUGUCCUCUUGUCAUUAUUAUAUGUGGUCUACAAAAUCUAAGAUGGAAUAGGAAAGAACAGUGGACGAAGGAAAAGGCAAAGGGAAGAGGAAAGUGAAUCCUCAUUCUCUCUGGGACAUACUGGGUGCUGAAACCUGUGUGGCAAAAAGUGUGUCAUCUCACUGUACUCAUGCAGCAUAAUCACCUGAAAAAUGAUAUGGGUAUAAUUUUAUCCUUAAGUGGCCUCUCCUUAAGGUCAAAGACAAAGGACAAGAAGAGAAUUCUGUCUGUGGACCUGGAAGAACAACAAAAAAUUAAAAUGACAAAUUUGGUGUUUUAGUUAUUGUUCUCAAACUCAUUAAUCCUUGCUAGAAGUCUUCCUCCUGAAAGUUCCUUCUGAAAUUGAGGUCCCAUUUUACAAAGAAACUACAUAAUACGCUUCACCCUGUUUCUCUAGCUUCCAAACCAAUGUUCUUUGGGGCUCUAGAAAAAACAACAAUGACAUGCAAAUAAAUUUGCAUGUGGAAAUAUCCUGAUUUCCACAGUUGUCCUUGAAUGCAUCUAUUGAAUUAAGUUACAGCUGAGGAAUAACAUCUGUUGUAAGUACAAAUUAGCCUCUGUAACCUAACAGGAAUCUCCUUGCACUUCACAAAGGAUGAGACACUGACACUCGUCAACAACUGUGCAAAGUGUAUUUACAAUCUCAGUAAGAGAUUCUAAAUUAAAUAUAGACA
Molecule: long non-coding RNA, 5665 nt
Filed under: Homo sapiens (human)
Lineage: Eukaryota; Metazoa; Chordata; Mammalia; Primates; Hominidae
Description: HSALNT0061502
Source: RNAcentral